UACGAAGGGGGCAAGCGUUGUUCGGAAUCACUGGGCGUAAAGCGCACGCAGGCGGAUCGGUAAGUCGGGGGUGAAAGCCCGGGGCUCAACCGCGGAAUUGCCUUCGAUACUGUCGGGCUCGAGGCCGGGAGAGGUGAGUGGAAUUCCUAGUGUAGAGGUGCAAUUCGUAGAUAUUAGGAAGAACACCAGUGGCGAAGGCGGCUCACUGGAACGGUACUGACGCUCAGGUGCGAAAGCGUGGGGAGCAAACAGG
RNAcentral lists this ribosomal RNA (253 nucleotides) under uncultured bacterium. RNAcentral describes it as "partial 16S ribosomal RNA". It matches the Rfam family "Bacterial small subunit ribosomal RNA", at positions 524 to 776 of the family's 1533-position model. The record is from RNAcentral.